GGUGGUCUUCGAUUGAUCUGUCGGCGCAUGCCAUCGAAUUCUUUGCCUGUGAGGCUUCGUUGAUGGUUCGCGAGAGUUGCUGGAUUCGGACGCUCCGCCAUUCACCACGCUCGAAGUCUAAGCAUUCGCGCGCAUUCCCUGCUUCGAUUAUUGAUCCCCGUAGCGGUGGCGCUUUUCCGUUGCCUGUGUCUGCAACAUCUUUUCUCCGUUCUGAAUGAGAGAGGAACGUUGCGUGCAGGUCAUUUUCUUUCUUAUCUGUGCUUUGCGUUGCCUACGACAAUUUGCAUCUCUCAGCUCUCAGCGACAGGAAAUGGCAGCGAAUCCGCCUCGGAUCCACGAUGGCGGCUUGUCGAGGACGGAGUCACGACGACGACGGGAGGGGGCCCGCCGGGCCCACGCGCCAACCGCCGAUGAUUUGUGUUUUCGGUGGGGCUCGACGUGGCGGUGACGCCGCUACCACCAUCGUCUGGGCUUUGACUCGGAGAUGACGCGGAGCCAACUCCUGCGACGUCGAAAGAGUCAACACCGUCAGAACAUUUACAGACGUUGAACUCACUAAUUUUGUUGUUGAAUUGUACGUCAAAUUAAAUUAUGAUGCACUAAAUCCAAUGCUUGUAUGAUAAUAUAUCAAAUGCAAAAUCUUUGUAGCCACAUAUGUCAGGGCAUCAGCUGUGUACAAUUGGGUUGUGAUGUUUUGAUCAGCUACGCUGACAGGUAGGGGAGGGAAUAUUGCAUUCCAAGAAUCCAUGAUGAAUUGGUUGCUAAGCUCUCACAGUCAUGGCCAGCUCACAUAGCAGUCGCACGGCAAAUGGAGACAAUAGCAAGG
Molecule: long non-coding RNA, 826 nt
Filed under: Musa acuminata (dwarf banana)
Lineage: Eukaryota; Viridiplantae; Streptophyta; Magnoliopsida; Zingiberales; Musaceae
Description: long non-coding RNA (MACU_LNC000040)
Source: RNAcentral